This 340-nucleotide ribosomal RNA is filed under the name Polybia affinis. RNAcentral describes it as "partial 12S ribosomal RNA". Lineage: Eukaryota; Metazoa; Arthropoda; Insecta; Hymenoptera; Vespidae. The record is from RNAcentral.
UAUAAUUAAUAGGAUAAAUAGAAAAUUAAAUGUUUAAAUCAUUAAAUUAAGAAGAUUUGGCGGUAUUUUAAAUAAUUAGAGGAACCUGUGUAUUAAUUGAUAAUCCACGAUAAGAAAAACUUAAUUAUAAAAUUUAUGUAUUGCUGUUAUUAGAUUAUUAUAAAUUAAAUUUUUAAAUUUUUAAAUUUAAUAUAAUUCAAGUCAAAAUAUAGUUUAGUUAAGAUUAAUAUGGGUUACAAUUUUUUUUUAUUGGAUAAAUUAUAUUUAAUUAAAUUUUGAAAAAGGAUUUAAUAGUAAAAAUAAUAAAUUUAUUAUUUUGAAAUAAUGAAAUAAAAUAUGU